AUGAGUUUUAUUUCUUUAGUAGGUACAAUAACACUAUUCUUAGGAGCAACAUUAGCUCUUGCCCAGAUAGAUAUUAAAAGAAGCUUAGCCUAUUCUACAAUGUCUCAAUUGGGUUAUAUGAUGUUAGCUCUAGGUAUAGGUGCUUAUCAAGCUGCUUUAUUCCAUUUUAUCACUUAUGCUUAUUCAAAAGCUUUAUUGUUCUUGGGAUCCGGAUCCGUUAUUCAUUCAAUGGAACCUCUUGUUGGAUAUUCACCAGAUAAAAGUCAAAAUAUGGUUCUUAUGGGCGGUUUAAGAAAAUACAUUCCGAUCAGAGGAACUACUUUUUUAUUGGGUACACUUUCUCUUUGUGGUAUUCCACCUCUUGCUUGCUUCUGGUCCAAAGAUGAAAUCCUUAGUAAUAGUUGGUUGUAUUUGCCCUUUUUUGGAAUAACACCCUCCUUUACUGUAGGAUUAACUGCCUUUUAUAUGUUUCGGAUAUAUUUACUUACAUUUAAUGGGUAUUUGCAUGUUCAUUUUCAAAAUUACAAUAGCACUAAAGAGAGUUUCUUGUAUUCAAUAUCCUUACAGGGAAAAGGGAUACCCAAAGGAGUGAAAGGGAUUUCGUUUAAUCAACAACAAAGAGUUGAGUUCUUUUUUUUUCACAAAAUAUACCAAAAAUUCAAGGUAAUACAAGAAAUAGGAUAG
This 684-nucleotide ribosomal RNA is filed under the name Triticum aestivum (bread wheat). RNAcentral's name for it is "partial small subunit ribosomal RNA". The record is from RNAcentral. Lineage: Eukaryota; Viridiplantae; Streptophyta; Magnoliopsida; Poales; Poaceae.